ACUUGAGGGGACCAUAAAACCAGACCCCCUGGCCCCUGGAGGAGACAAGUUCAUCAUAGAGUUGAGAGGAGCCCUCGAAGGAAUACCUCUCUUCUAAAUAAAAUUUCUUUUAGGCUUAGCGUCCAAUGUGAGUAGAAUUAGAUCUUCUAGUUUCUACUAGAUUGAGAGAGAUAGAGUGGAGGUGUAGAUCGGAGGAAGCCCGACC
RNAcentral lists this long non-coding RNA (205 nucleotides) under Sorghum bicolor (sorghum). RNAcentral's name for it is "long non-coding RNA (SBIC_LNC016204)". The record is from RNAcentral. Lineage: Eukaryota; Viridiplantae; Streptophyta; Magnoliopsida; Poales; Poaceae.